RNAcentral lists this non-coding RNA (118 nucleotides) under human gut metagenome. RNAcentral's name for it is "THF riboswitch". It matches the Rfam family "THF (Tetrahydrofolate) riboswitch aptamer". From Rfam's summary of the family: THF riboswitch presents a pseudoknot that joins P1-P2 and the loop of P3 and two THF binding. The record is from RNAcentral. RNAcentral also lists the same sequence under 2 other names.
GCAGAGUAGGAUAUUGCGCGUGUCAUGGGGCUCAUGACGAGUGCCGCCUGGACGGGGAGUUGCCGGGCGGACGAAUAGCCGGCCAUCGGCUUGCGGUGCGGUAUCCGCAUCCCGCUGC